UGGGUAACCUGCCUCAAAGAGGGGAAUAGCCUCCCCGAAAAGGGGAGAUUAAUACCGCAUAAUAUGUUUAGGUCGCAUGACUUUAACAUCAAAGGAUUUUCUUUUAAGAAAUUCCACUUUGAGAUGGACCCGCGGUGCAUUAGCUAGUUGGUGAGGUAACGGCUCACCAAGGCAACGAUGCGUAGCCGACCUGAGAGGGUNAUCCGGCCACAUUGGAACUGAGACACGGUCCAGACUCCGUAGGAGG
This 247-nucleotide ribosomal RNA is filed under the name uncultured bacterium. Its description in RNAcentral is "partial 16S ribosomal RNA". It matches the Rfam family "Bacterial small subunit ribosomal RNA", at positions 118 to 348 of the family's 1533-position model. The record is from RNAcentral.